GCCCCCGUAGCUCAGUGGUGAGAGCAGCGGUUUUCUAAACCGUGGGUCGGAGGUUCGAGUCCUCUCGGGGGCA
This 73-nucleotide transfer RNA is filed under the name Actinomycetota bacterium. Its description in RNAcentral is "Actinobacteria bacterium (freshwater metagenome) tRNA-Arg". It matches the Rfam family "tRNA". Rfam says of the family: Transfer RNA (tRNA) molecules are approximately 80 nucleotides in length. Lineage: Bacteria; Bacillati; Actinomycetota. The record is from RNAcentral.